ACGGAAGGCAGCAGUGAGGAAUAUUGGUCAAUGGGCGAGAGCCUGAACCAGCCAAGUCGCGUGAAGGAUGAAGGUUCUAUGGAUUGUAAACUUCUUUUGUUCGAGGGUAAAGUGAGUCACGUGUGGCUUAUUGCAAGUAUCGAACGAAUAAGCAUCGGCUAACUCCGUGCCAGCAGCCGCGGUAAUACGGAGGAUGCGAGCGUUAUCCGGAUUAUUGGGUUUAAAGGGUGCGUAGGCGGGAUGUUAAGUCAGCGUUUAAAUAGUGUAGCUCAACUAUACUUCGCCGUUGAAACUGGCGUUCUUGAGUGUAAAUGAGGUAGGCGGAAUGUGACGUGUAGCGGUGAAAUGCUUAGAUAUGUCACAGAACCCCGAUUGCGAAGGCAGCUUACCAAGAUACAACUGACGCUGAGGCACGAGAGCGUGGGUAUCAAACAGGAUUAGAUACCCUGGUA
RNAcentral lists this ribosomal RNA (452 nucleotides) under uncultured Porphyromonadaceae bacterium. RNAcentral describes it as "partial 16S ribosomal RNA". It matches the Rfam family "Bacterial small subunit ribosomal RNA", at positions 341 to 792 of the family's 1533-position model. The record is from RNAcentral. Lineage: Bacteria; Pseudomonadati; Bacteroidota; Bacteroidia; Bacteroidales; Porphyromonadaceae.